UUGAACGCUGGCGGCAUGCCUUACACAUGCAAGUCGAACGGUAACGGGCCUUCGGGUGCCGACGAGUGGCGAACGGGUGAGUAAUACAUCGGAACGUGCCCGAUCGUGGGGGAUAACGAGGCGAAAGCUUUGCUAAUACCGCAUACGAUCUACGGAUGAAAGCAGGGGACCGCAAGGCCUUGCGCGGACGGAGCGGCCGAUGGCAGAUUGGGUAGUUGGUGGGGUAAAAGCUUACCAAGCCGACGAUCUUUAGCUGGUCUGAGAGGAUGAUCAGCCACACUGGGACUGAGACACGGCCCAGACUCCUACGGGAGGCAGCAGUGGGGAAUUUUGGACAAUGGGCGCAAGCCUGAUCCAGCCAUGCCGCGUGCAGGAUGAAGGCCUUCGGGUUGUAAACUGCUUUUGUACGGAACGAAAAGCCUUCUUUUAAUACAGGAGGGUCAUGACGGUACCGUAAGAAUAAGCACCGGCUAACUACGUG
RNAcentral lists this ribosomal RNA (481 nucleotides) under uncultured bacterium. RNAcentral describes it as "partial 16S ribosomal RNA". It matches the Rfam family "Bacterial small subunit ribosomal RNA", at positions 30 to 507 of the family's 1533-position model. The record is from RNAcentral.